GCUUAACACAUGCAAGUCGAACGCGUCCUUCGGGACGAGUGGCAGACGGGUGAGUAACACGUGGGAACCUACCUGAUGGUACGGAAUAACACAGGGAAACUUGUGCUAAUACCGUAUGAGCCCCUCGGGGGAAAGAUUUAUCGCCAUCAGAUGGGCCCGCGUCGGAUUAGCUAGUUGGUGGGGUAAUGGCCUACCAAGGCGACGAUCCGUAGCUGGUCUGAGAGGAUGAUCAGCCACACUGGGACUGAGACACGGCCCAGACUCCUACGGGAGGCAGCAGUAGGGAAUCUUGGACAAUGGGCGAAAGCCUGAUCCAGCCAUGCCGCGUGAGUGAUGAAGGCCUUAGGGUUGUAAAGCUCUUUCGCCAGGGAAGAUAAUGACGGUACCUGGAUAAGAAGCCCCGGCAAACUUCGUGCCAGCAGCCGCGGUAAUAC
RNAcentral lists this ribosomal RNA (434 nucleotides) under uncultured Alphaproteobacteria bacterium. Its description in RNAcentral is "bacterial SSU rRNA". It matches the Rfam family "Bacterial small subunit ribosomal RNA", at positions 46 to 526 of the family's 1533-position model. Lineage: Bacteria; Pseudomonadati; Pseudomonadota; Alphaproteobacteria. The record is from RNAcentral.